CCUACGGGAGGCAGCAGUGGGGAAUUUUGGACAAUGGGCGCAAGCCUGAUCCAGCAAUGCCGCGUGCAGGAUGAAGGCCUUCGGGUUGUAAACUGCUUUUGUACGGAACGAAACGGUCUGCCCUAAUACGGUGGGCUAAUGACGGUACCGUAAGAAUAAGCACCGGCUAACUACGUGCCAGCAGCCGCGGUAAUACGUAGGGUGCGAGCGUUAAUCGGAAUUACUGGGCGUAAAGCGUGCGCAGGCGGUUAUGUAAGACAGAUGUGAAAUCCCCGGGCUCAACCUGGGACCUGCAUUUGUGACUGCAUAGCUAGAGUACGGUAGAGGGGGAUGGAAUUCCGCGUGUAGCAGUGAAAUGCGUAGAUAUGCGGAGGAACACCGAUGGCGAAGGCAAUCCCCUGGACCUGUACUGACGCUCAUGCACGAAAGCGUGGGGAGCAAACAGGAUUAGAUACCCUGGUAGUCCACGCCCUAAACGAUGUCAACUGGUUGUUGGGUCUUCACUGACUCAGUAACGAAGCUAACGCGUGAAGUUGACCGCCUGGGGAGUCGGCCGCAAGGUUGAAACGUUAAAUGAAAUUGACGGCGNGAGAGUGACGACGGACGACGACGAGGGGAGGAGG
RNAcentral lists this ribosomal RNA (623 nucleotides) under uncultured bacterium. Its description in RNAcentral is "bacterial SSU rRNA". It matches the Rfam family "Bacterial small subunit ribosomal RNA", at positions 338 to 959 of the family's 1533-position model. The record is from RNAcentral.